ACCCGCCCCCGGGCGCCAGUGAUUGGCGCAGAGGCUGCGCGACGUCUUUGUCGUUCGUAAAGGAAAACACACGCACACCCACAUCUGGAUGCGACUGUCGCACAACUGGAGCUUUUAGGAAACAGCGGAUUACGCAUAGUGAGAUGUCCCACUGUAGCUGCUGAUGGAAAGUGUGUUUUACAACGCUGGGCUGAUGAUGAAGAGGAUUGAGGGACACCGAGGAGGGAGAAUUAUUGCUGCUGAAUCGGGACAACGACAGUCGGCUGUUGGCCAAUAAUUAUGACAAUGGGUGGGGUAUGAAGCGCUUGAUCAACAACAAAUUAAUUUUCCCAAGAGCCUCACAUAUUAAAUCCAUGCACGAGGCCCUAAUACGCAAUUCAGUAUGAGACUGUUUUGCAAUGCAUCACUUGAAGAUAUCCCAUUGUCUAUUGACAACUACUCUGGAUUCGUGGUCUGGUUUCAUCGCAGAGCGGAACCGGAUCAGUUGUGAAGACAGCGAGACGAAUCCCUGAGCGCGAUGAGGCUUUCUGCAGGACAGCUGUGGAGGCCAGCAUGCGGUCCCAGUCGAGGCGCUUCAUUCCCCAGCUGCCGCUCAAGAACUGCUGGAGGCCCUCACCGUGCCGCUGACAGACUUCACAUCAGCCUACUGCAGAGUUCCUCCGCGCCGGUUGUUGGCAAUGAGAACUUAAGAGAGGAUUUUGGAAUUCAUGCUGAAAAAAACACAAACUCAUCUGAGAAUCACAGCAACGAGAGCCUCCCCGUGACUACUCCUGAGGAUCAAAUGCUUCAAUUACAGCUACAUGAAAAUGAAACCGAGAUGAACAGGCUCUGGGGAAUUAAUGCUGAGCUUGUAGAGGAGGCUCACAAAAGUAGUCAUGAGAUUUCAGUCCAACUCAAGCAUCUUUCUGAGACAGAAGACAAAAGGGCUUCAAGAACAAAUGAGUAGCACUUUAAUGGCCUACAGUUCAGACUUUAAUUACGGCAAGUCAAACGUCUGGCUGCCACAGCAAAUCUUUGGUUUCCAUUACGUCUCACCUCCUCCUUUCUAAUCAGGUGAAAAAUACGUAGCCAUAUAGCAUUUGAAACAAUAGCCCCUCCUGUCACGUCUCAACCAGAAUAGGCCCAAUUCUAUAGAGAGUAAAAAUACAGAGUAAAGAAGGCUAGCUGAAUAAGGUUUUUAGGCCAUUUGUAUAAUUCAGAAUGACUCUUCAGAUACUGUUCAACGUUAAUUUGAGUAAAUUUAGAGCAAAAGCCCCGGUACAUGGACUUCAUGUGGAAAGAGUAAGACCUCAUGGAGCCCCAGUCCUACCAGUUCCCUUCGCAGCCAGGCCAGUGCGUUCUCGAUGUCCAGCUUCGUGCCUUCCUCUCCAGCUGUGCACCCGGACCUGCUCUGAGGGUCCCUGCGUGCACCCUGCCCCGCCGGGCUGCCAUCAUCGAAGGUGGAGGUCUUGCAGGAGAAGUCCCGCAGUCUGUUUAAGACCACUUCCAUCAUGUCAGGUGUAUGUUCUCAGCUGUAGCGCAGAUGCAGCCUCGUCUCUCUGCUCUCUCUUUCUCCUCCUGUUAAGAGAUCACGGUUUAUGAGGGACUCUCACUCCCUUUCAUUCUCAGCACUGUGGAGUUUGUGCAUGUUGGCAGAGCAGGUCUGACGUCAGUGCAUUGUCCAGAUGCCUGACCUGGAGUUGUUUACCACUUUGUUGUGGGAGGAGGGGGUGCACGCAUACACACACAGACCGUGUUCAUUAGGAUGUAUGGGGGGUAACAUCUGUAACAAUCCUUGUGAUGGUUUGGGUCUGUUGCUUUUUGUGUACUUGAGGAGGAUGCGGGGAGCACAGAGCAUGUGAUCUGUGGUCAGGAGCUUAAGAACAGUGUGAACAGCCAUGUGUAACUAACCCCCUCUUGUGCUGUUUUACCCUCAUUCUGCCGCCCCUGGCAACCCCAUCUAUUCUCACACACACACACCGCAUUGUAAACCAAACAUAGGCCCACUUUGUGGACUCCACAGUAUCAACCCAAAUAGCCACAUCGACACAUAGAAAGCUAUUUUUAAGAGUGGAAACUGACUCCUCUUCAGGAAAAACAACGUCACUACUCUCAAAAGGAGUAAAAAACAAGCUGCCUUUUAGUGCCAUUGUGCGAAUUGUCCCAUGUUCUUAAUGCGACUUGCAAAGACAAUGAAGAGCCGGGUUUAAGUUGUAUCAGCUGUGACGUCAACAGUUGCUUUGAAUGAGUAGAAUUGACAAUUAUGUUAAAUACCUUUUCUUCACCUUCCUAUCAUUUUCUGUUUGUAUCUUUGUCGCUAUUAAUAUUUAAUGCUAGUCUGUUUGUUUUGGGAUGAGAGUUUCGGCUAAAAUUGAAAUAAUAACAACAGCAACACCAUUUGGUAAAUUUGCAACCAAUAUUUCUUCACUGCUGUUGGUGGACGACGAUUAGGCCGACAGACAAGACUUCAUAUUCAAUACAAAAUAUAUAUAAAGUACCACACAUGUUGCAAGUAGGGUCGUUACAGUUUAGGAAUAAGUACUGAGGUUGUUUAUUGAAGUACCAAUAGAAAUACGACAGCACUCACAAUUUCACUUGUUAAAGUACCAGUAAGUAUUGGCAUCAAAAUGAACUUAGAUGAAGAACUCAUUAUACUGAUUGACUUAUUAGGAUAUUGUAUAUCACUGAUCACGGCUCAUUGCCGCCACCAUGUGUUGUAUUUUUGAAGGCAUUUACUAACAACUGGUGGUUUCCUUUCAACGAUGCAGGUCAAUCUGUACAAUAUAUACAGUAUAGGAAAGGGGCCAAGCCGAUUGGCUUAGGAAACAUAACAAUGACUGAAUUGUAAGACGCUUUUUGAACUUGAAUGGCAAGGUACUGCAAGAUGUCAUUAAAUACAACCCGUGUAGAAAUAAAUAAAUAAAUAAGGCAUUUGAAACGUAUCCCAUUUUUCAAUUAAAACGGCAUAUUGAACUAAUGUUCACAGUUCAACUCUCAGUACAGUAUACCGUCACAGUGCAAACAGCAUCUACAGCAUCAGCACCCGGGCUCAUCAUCUUCAGCUAAUCUGCUGCUCAGAAGCUACAAAGAAAAAUUAAGAUCAAGUUUAAGUUGUAUUAUCAAUAUUUGCAUAUUAUUUCCAAAGACUAUGGAUGGAUAUAUAGUGGGUGAAAUAAAAAGCCUAAUAUUUUAAUGAAAUGUUUUAUUUUGGUUGACAAGUUGACAACCAACGCUACAACGUUAGCCGAAUAGUUAGGUUACUAUAGUAGUUACUAAUCAUCAGGCGUGUCUCUCUUUACCAGUUGCCACUUGUGUUUGUCCUCU
Long non-coding RNA from Pungitius pungitius (ninespine stickleback), 3303 nucleotides. RefSeq lists it as uncharacterized. The transcript has 3 exons. NCBI's taxonomy places the organism in Eukaryota, Metazoa, Chordata, Actinopteri, Perciformes, Gasterosteidae. The record is from RefSeq and is a predicted model, not a curated record.